UACGUAGGGUGCGAGCGUUAAUCGGAAUUACUGGGCGUAAAGCGUGCGCAGGCGGUGAGCUGUGUCCGAUGUGAAAGCCCCGGGCUUAACCUGGGAAUGGCAUUGGAAACUGGCUCGCUGGAGUGUGGCAGAGGGGGGUGGAAUUCCGCGUGUAGCAGUGAAAUGCGUAGAGAUGCGGAGGAACACCGAUGGCGAAGGCAGCCCCCUGGGCUAACACCGACGCUCAGGCACGAAAGCGUGGGGAGCAAACAGG
This 253-nucleotide ribosomal RNA is filed under the name uncultured bacterium. Its description in RNAcentral is "partial 16S ribosomal RNA". It matches the Rfam family "Bacterial small subunit ribosomal RNA", at positions 524 to 776 of the family's 1533-position model. The record is from RNAcentral.